GCGAGGUGGUGCCAAUCCUAGAAAGUCUUCGUAGUCCGGAUUGGAGUCUGCAACUCGACUCCAUGAAGUCGGAAUCGCUAGUAAUCGCGAAUCAGCAUGUCGCGGUGAAUACGUUCUCGGGUCUUGUACACACCGCCCGUCAUACCAUGGAAGUGGAUUGCACCAGAAGUAGAUAGUCUAACCUUAGGGAGGGCGUUUACCACGGUGUGCUUCAUGACUGGGGUAAAGUCGUAACAAGGUAGCCGUAGGGGAACCUGUGGCUGGAUCACCUCCUU
This 275-nucleotide ribosomal RNA is filed under the name uncultured SAR86 cluster bacterium. RNAcentral describes it as "partial 16S ribosomal RNA". It matches the Rfam family "Bacterial small subunit ribosomal RNA", at positions 1257 to 1532 of the family's 1533-position model. Lineage: Bacteria; Pseudomonadati; Pseudomonadota; Gammaproteobacteria. The record is from RNAcentral.